Molecule: ribosomal RNA, 449 nt
Filed under: uncultured bacterium
Lineage: Bacteria
Description: bacterial SSU rRNA
Rfam family: Bacterial small subunit ribosomal RNA
Source: RNAcentral
CCAGACUCCUACGGGAGGCAGCAGUGGGGAAUAUUGGGCAAUGGGCGCAAGCCUGACCCAGCAACGCCGCGUGAAGGAAGAAGGCUUUCGGGUUGUAAACUUCUUUUGUCAGGGACGAAGCAAGUGACGGUACCUGACGAAUAAGCCACGGCCAACUACGUGCCAGCAGCCGCGGUAAUACGUAGGUGGCAAGCGUUAUCCGGAUUUAUUGGGUGUAAAGGGCGUGUAGGCGGGAAUGCAAGUCAGAUGUGAAAUCCGGGGGCUCAACCCCCGAACUGCAUUUGAAACUGUUGGUCUUGAGUAUCGGAGAGGCAGGCGGAAUUCCUAGUGUAGCGGUGAAAUGCGUAGAUAUUAGGAGGAACACCAGUGGCGAAGGCGGCCUGCUGGACGACAACUGACGGUGAGGCGCGAAAGCGUGGGGAGCAAACAGGAUUAGAUACCCGAGUACC